UGGGGAAUUUUGGACAAUGGGCGAAAGCCUGAUCCAGCAAUGCCGCGUGUGUGAAGAAGGCCUUCGGGUUGUAAAGCACUUUUGUCCGGAAAGAAAUCCUUGGCUCUAAUACAGUCGGGGGAUGACGGUACCGGAAGAAUAAGCACCGGCUAACUACGUGCCAGCAGCCGCGGUAAUACGUAGGGUGCAAGCGUUAAUCGGAAUUACUGGGCGUAAAGCGUGCGCAGGCGGUUUGCUAAGACCGAUGUGAAAUCCCCGGGCUCAACCUGGGAACUGCAUUGGUGACUGGCAGGCUAGAGUAUGGCAGAGGGGGGUAGAAUUCCACGUGUAGCAGUGAAAUGCGUAGAGAUGUGGAGGAAUACCGAUGGCGAAGGCAGCCCCCUGGGCCAAUACUGACGCUCAUGCACGAAAGCGUGGGGAGCAAACAGGAUUAGAUACCCUGGUAGUCCACGCCCUAAACGAUGUCAACUAGUUGUUGGGGAUUCAUUUCCUUAGUAACGUAGCUAACGCGUGAAGUUGACCGCCUGGGGA
Molecule: ribosomal RNA, 531 nt
Filed under: uncultured bacterium
Lineage: Bacteria
Description: partial 16S ribosomal RNA
Rfam family: Bacterial small subunit ribosomal RNA
Source: RNAcentral